GAUGAACGCUGGCGGCGUGCUUAAUACAUGCAAGUCGAGCGAACGGACGAGAAGCUUGCUCCUCUGAUGUUAGCGGCGGACGGGUGAGUAACACGUGGAUAACCUACCUAUAAGAAUGGGAUAACUUCGGGAAACCGGAGCUACUACCGGAUAAUAUUUUGAACCGCAUGGUUCAAAAGUGAAAGACGGUCUUGCUGUCACUUAUAGAUGGCCACGCGCUGCAUGAGCUAGUUGGUAAGGUAACGGCUUACCAAGGCAACGAUGGAUAGACGACCUGAGAGGGACGACGGACACACGGGAAGAGAGGAACAGCCGAGACACCGACAGGGAGCAGCAGUAGAGAAUCUUACGGGAGGCAGGAGUGCCGGAUAGUGGAACAUCGGGGAAAGGAUGAAGGUCUACUGAUGGGAGAGCGAUGUUGUUAGGAGAGUAGAAAAGUGUAAGUAACCGGGAUCAUAAUGACGGUACCUGGACAAAAAGCCACGGCUAACUACGUG
This 497-nucleotide ribosomal RNA is filed under the name uncultured bacterium. Its description in RNAcentral is "partial 16S ribosomal RNA". It matches the Rfam family "Bacterial small subunit ribosomal RNA", at positions 28 to 507 of the family's 1533-position model. The record is from RNAcentral.